UGAGGGAAUAUUGGGGUCAAUGGGGCGAGAGCCUGAACCAGCCAAGUAGCGUGCAGGAAGACGGCCCUAUGGGUUGUAAACUGCUUUUAUAUGGGGAUAAAGCGAGUUACGUGUAGCUUAUUGCAGGUACCAUAUGAAUAAGGACCGGCUAAUUCCGUGCCAGCAGCCGCGGUAAUACGGAAGGUCCAGGCGUUAUCCGGAUUUAUUGGGUUUAAAGGGAGCGUAGGCCGCCCCUUAAGCGUGUUGUGAAAUGCCGCGGCUCAACCGUGGCACUGCAGCACGAACUGGUUUUCUUGAGUGCGCGCGACGCAGGCGGAAUUCGUGGUGUAGCGGUGAAAUGCUUAGAUAUCACGAGGAACCCGAUUGCGAAGGCAGCUUGCGGAGCGCAACUGACGCUG
This 398-nucleotide ribosomal RNA is filed under the name uncultured Prevotella sp. RNAcentral's name for it is "bacterial SSU rRNA". It matches the Rfam family "Bacterial small subunit ribosomal RNA", at positions 354 to 748 of the family's 1533-position model. The record is from RNAcentral. Lineage: Bacteria; Pseudomonadati; Bacteroidota; Bacteroidia; Bacteroidales; Prevotellaceae.